UCUAGGUGUCUUUCAGUCUAAAGGGAAUA
This 29-nucleotide non-coding RNA is filed under the name Mus musculus (house mouse). Lineage: Eukaryota; Metazoa; Chordata; Mammalia; Rodentia; Muridae. The record is from RNAcentral.